UACGUAGGGGGCAAGCGUUGUCCGGAAUCAUUGGGCGUAAAGAGCGUGUAGGCGGCCCGAUAAGUCCGCCGUGAAAGUCCAGGGCUCAACCCUGGGAUGCCGGUGGAAACUGUCGGGCUAGAGUCCGGAAGAGGCGAGUGGAAUUCCUGGUGUAGCGGUGAAAUGCGCAGAUAUCAGGAGGAACACCAAUGGCGAAGGCAGCUCGCUGGGACGGUACUGACGCUGAGACGUGAAAGCGUGGGGAGCAAACAGG
RNAcentral lists this ribosomal RNA (253 nucleotides) under uncultured bacterium. Its description in RNAcentral is "partial 16S ribosomal RNA". It matches the Rfam family "Bacterial small subunit ribosomal RNA", at positions 524 to 776 of the family's 1533-position model. The record is from RNAcentral.